This 229-nucleotide RNase P RNA is filed under the name Clostridiaceae bacterium. RNAcentral describes it as "partial RNase P RNA component class A". It matches the Rfam family "Bacterial RNase P class A", at positions 1 to 226 of the family's 367-position model. From Rfam's summary of the family: Ribonuclease P (RNase P) is a ubiquitous endoribonuclease, found in archaea, bacteria and eukarya as well as chloroplasts and mitochondria. Its best characterised activity is the generation of mature 5'-ends of tRNAs by cleaving the 5'-leader elements of precursor-tRNAs. The record is from RNAcentral. Lineage: Bacteria; Bacillati; Bacillota; Clostridia; Eubacteriales; Clostridiaceae.
UGAGUAAGUCGGAUAAUCGCGGGUACAGUGCCGAAAGGCCGUACCUGAGGAAAGUCCGGGCUCCGCAGGGCAGGGUGCCGGGUAAUACCCGGUGAAGGCGACUUCAAGGAAAGUGCAACAGAAAGAAAACCGCAUGCUUGCCAAAAGCAUGUAAGGGUGAAAGGGUAGGGUAAGAGCCUACCGCGCAUAUGGCGACUUAUGCGGCAUUGUAAACCCCGCCCGAUGCAAG